RNAcentral lists this ribosomal RNA (205 nucleotides) under Salmonella enterica subsp. enterica serovar Typhimurium. Its description in RNAcentral is "partial 23S ribosomal RNA". It matches the Rfam family "Bacterial large subunit ribosomal RNA", at positions 1139 to 1342 of the family's 2925-position model. The record is from RNAcentral. Lineage: Bacteria; Pseudomonadati; Pseudomonadota; Gammaproteobacteria; Enterobacterales; Enterobacteriaceae.
AGCUCACUGGUCGAGUCGGCCUGCGCGGAAGAUGUAACGGGGCUAAACCAUGCACCGAAGCUGCGGCAGCGACGCUGAUGCGUUGUUGGGUAGGGGAGCGUUCUGUAAGCCUGCGAAGGUGACCUGUGAGGGUUGCUGGAGGUAUCAGAAGUGCGAAUGCUGACAUAAGUAACGAUAAAGCGGGUGAAAAGCCCGCUCGCCGGAA